AUUGAACGCUGGCGGCAGGCCUAACACAUGCAAGUCGAACGAGUGGCGGACGGGUGAGUCAUGUCUGGGAAACUGCCCGAUGGGUGGGGAUCACUACUGGAAACGGUAGCUAAUACCGCAUACCCUCCUAUGUUCCCAGAUGGGAUUAGCUAGUAGGUGGGGUAACGGCUCACCUAGGCGACGAUCCCUAGCUGGUCUGAGAGGAUGACCAGCCAAACUGGAACUGAGACACGGUCCAGACUCCUACGGGAGGCAGCAGUGGGGAAUAUUGCACAAUGGGCGCAAGCCUGAUGCAGCCAUGCCGCGGGUAUGAAGAAGGCCUUCGGGUUGUAAAGUACUUUCAGCGAGGAGGCGUUACUCGCAGAAGAAGCACCGGCUAACUCCGUGCCAGCAGCCGCGGUAAUUC
This 406-nucleotide ribosomal RNA is filed under the name uncultured bacterium. Its description in RNAcentral is "partial 16S ribosomal RNA". It matches the Rfam family "Bacterial small subunit ribosomal RNA", at positions 30 to 526 of the family's 1533-position model. The record is from RNAcentral.